UUCACAUUAAAUUUGUCGGUGUCUGGUUUUUGGCGCAAGAUACUAACAACAUAAGUUGAGGCUAAAUUCCAGUGUGUUAGAUAAACUGCUUCUACCAAGAAACUAAUAAUACACUACGUUGAGCUAGUUGCAGUUUAAUUGCUUCUACCAAGAAACUAAUAAUAUACUACGUUGAGCUAGUUGCAGCCCACUUUACCUUCCACAUUUAACUUUGUCUAAGACUGGCUUCUGUAGCAAUAAUACAUUAGAAUCUUUUGGAGACGCGGCCAUAAGUCCAGUACAUUGAAUAGAGGUUUUGAAGUUGGUUUAUGGUGUCGGUUAUAAGCCCUCGUUGAUGCGGUCAUAAAAUUAGUAUAAAGGUUAAGCAGAUACUGGCUUACGGUGUCGGUUAAGCGCCAGCAACGCGUAAUGCGAAACACGUCCGUAGGUUUUGGUUUAUGAUGCGGCCAUGUUCUGGUGAUGCGGUCGUAAGUGCAGUAGUGAGGGGUUGCUGGUUUCAGCACAUUGAAUAGAGGUUAGACGGUGGUUUAUGGUGUCGGUUAAGCCUCGAGGGCUGCGGCCAUAAAAUUAUAAGUAAAAUAUUUACUUCACCCCGAUUAAAGGUAAAGUAGACGCUGGUUUAUGGUGUCGGUUUUGAGCCUCGGGGACGUGCAUCGCUUCUGUUUUAUGAUGCGAUUUUGCCCCGUGGUGGCGGUCAUAAGCGCAGUGAAAGGGGUACCUGGUAUAUGGUGCGGUUGUGCUUCGGAAGAGUUCUAACAGUUGAGUUCAGAGGUUUCUGUGUAAAUUUCCGCUGAUGAAAAGCGCUCUCUGUGGGUCUCACUGCUGGUGAGGCGCGCUCUGGGCGUUGUGUGUGUGAAGCGCGCUCUGGGUGUGUUUCCGUGUGUGAAGCGUGAACACAGUGACAGUGACGGUUGAUGUGUGAUUAGGAGGACACUAGAGUAAAGACACAUUUUAGGAUCAAAGGUUGAUACCUAGUGUACCUGUGGAAAUUAAUUUUGUUCAAGGUGUGGCAACCCCCCUGUCUGUGGACGCACAGGCCGGUCCAGCGUCGUCUGGGUGCCGAGGUGGUGACUUGGGAACUGAGGACUCCCGCAUAGCUACAGAAUAACACUGGAACGGCCGUGUAAUCACGGGUUCACAUUUAUUCUGGACUAGACCAAGACACAUUUUGCGAUCAAAGGUUGAGCUCUAGAGUAGUCAAAUAAAAAGGUUGAAUUCCUCGUUUCAGUGGUUGAAAUUGUUGUGUGCCUGUCCCCUGACGAGUGUGAAAUUAAAUAAAGAGGGAAUUUGGAGCCACAUAGAGAUAGACGGGCAUAAUUGGGUGUAUUACUCUGUGGUGUAAUAAAAAAUAAUUAAAAAAAAGGAGAGAGAGAUAGUAAGAGGUGUGUAGUGGAGAAUUAUUGAGAAGCAGAGAGAGGAAUGUGUUGGGAGACUGACGUGCAGUUUGCGCUGUCAAGGUGGGCGUGUUGCCUGCUUAUCUGUUUAACAGUGAUGAAAAUGAUAUUAAAUAAAUCUCUUAGUGUGUUAAUACAGGAAGCUACGGACCUGGACCAACUGCCCCCACAAGCACAGCGGCCGAAGCAAAAUUAUAGUAAUGGGAACCACACCCAGCAAGAAUCAGCAGCUGUGAAACAGACAGCAGCGAGGAGAGAAUUAGAGGAGAAAUUAAGAGAAGUUUUAACACAAAAUUGGGGCCAACAGACUUGUGGAGGUUGGGAAGGCGUCCGGAGCAUCACAACAAAAGGUGAAACAAAACACACACAAGCAGAGAAAUGUG
Oreochromis aureus is the source of this 1777-nucleotide long non-coding RNA. The record is from Ensembl. NCBI's taxonomy places the organism in Eukaryota, Metazoa, Chordata, Actinopteri, Cichliformes, Cichlidae.